UCAAACGAGAGUUUGAUCCUGGCUCAGAAUCAACGCUGGCGGCGUGCCUAACACAUGCAAGUCGCACGAGAAAGCGGACUUCGGUCUGUGAGUACAGUGGCGCACGGGUGAGUAACACGUGACUAACCUACCUCCGAGUGGGGAAUAACCUAGGGAAACCUGGGCUAAUACCGCAUAACACUCAAGAGUCAAAGCAGCAAUGCGCUUGGAGAGGGGGUCGCGGCAGAUUAGCUAGUUGGUGGGGUAAUGGCCCACCAAGGCGAUGAUCUGUAUCCGGCCUGAGAGGGCGCACGGACACACUGGAACUGAAACACGGUCCAGACUCCUACGGGAGGCAGCAGUGGGGAAUUUUGCGCAAUGGGGGAAACCCUGACGCAGCAACGCC
RNAcentral lists this ribosomal RNA (385 nucleotides) under Acidobacteriota bacterium. RNAcentral describes it as "bacterial SSU rRNA". It matches the Rfam family "Bacterial small subunit ribosomal RNA", at positions 1 to 398 of the family's 1533-position model. Lineage: Bacteria; Pseudomonadati; Acidobacteriota. The record is from RNAcentral.